GUUGAAGACGAUGGUGUGUCUUUGUCUGAUUGGUUGGGCAUGUUUUUUGUCCUUUUGUGACUUAAGUGAGGCGUGACCGGUUGAUGCCAUGUUCACAUAAUUUUUUGUUACUUUUAAAUAUUUAAAUAAGUGAUACUUUAAUUAAAUUGGAUAUUAAUUGGAAGUGGAUCCUGGGCCUAACACGCAUGCUUUUCCCACCCCCAACUUUUGGGCCCAUUUAUGUGUUUUAACUAUUCUCAAGUUCAU
RNAcentral lists this long non-coding RNA (246 nucleotides) under Lathyrus oleraceus (garden pea). RNAcentral describes it as "Pisum sativum (pea) long non-coding RNA (PSAT_LNC006307)". Lineage: Eukaryota; Viridiplantae; Streptophyta; Magnoliopsida; Fabales; Fabaceae. The record is from RNAcentral.